This is a long non-coding RNA of Galeopterus variegatus (Sunda flying lemur), 910 nucleotides long. RefSeq lists it as uncharacterized. The record is from RefSeq and is a predicted model, not a curated record. NCBI's taxonomy places the organism in Eukaryota, Metazoa, Chordata, Mammalia, Dermoptera, Cynocephalidae. The transcript has 2 exons.
ACAAAAUGCCAAGCAGUCCUGUUGGAACAAGUGCUCAGGAUGAUAUUUAAUAUAGCAGGGAGCCAAGACACAGUAGUAGGACACGGUAAAGAAUGUGGAGUGUGUAGAUACAAUAAAGAAUUUCGGUUUAUGAUCUGCCAUUCGUUAUUUGAAAGAGGAAUAAGUUACGGAAAUAAACAACUUUCAGUUCUCCAUACAUGCAAAGGUAAGUUCGUUGUUACAAAAGUUUUGCUGUUGUAUGUGCUGAAAGAAAAGCAUAUGCAUUUAAACAUUUUUUAAAAAUAAAUCACUCAAUAGGCUUAAGAAAAAUACUUCAGUACAUAUUUUAUCGAUCUGACCUUUGGAUUCAAGAUCGGGGAAUGAAUCUAGGUUAAAAAAGAAACAAACAAACACGAAAACCCUAACCAGAAAAUGAAUCAUAUACCAUGAAAAAGGCAUAUCCAGUCUCAGCUAACCUCGACUAGGUUUUAUUGCAUUAUUUUUGAAAUGCCAAAAUACUGGCUUUGGCCAUAAUAUUUACUGUCCAACUAAAUCAUAGCUGUCAGUAUGCAGUUGCUUGCAACAAUUAGCUAAACACCAUUAUUUGGAAAAUUCCCUUGAAAGAGACGUAAAUGCUAUAGUGUGUUUAGGUCUAACACACUAAAUCAAGUAACAAUCAGUCGAGCUGGGGCUGUAGCAUAAGGAGAGAAGUUUGGAAAUCCUCGCCCAAGGAUGGGGUUUUACACAGCCUUACAUUUUGAAAAACACAUGUUUGUCCUGAUCUUACAAGUUCUUUCCUGUUUUCAGAAAUAAAUUGCGGGACUGACUAAAGUGCAGGGGGAAGAAAGCCCCCGCCAACUCUAGAUUAGUUUUUAAGGAGAUCAGGAGGAGAGGAAGAAAAAUAGAAAUGCAAAUGUUACAUGAUAAUGAU